This 265-nucleotide RNase MRP RNA is filed under the name Theobroma cacao (cacao). RNAcentral describes it as "SRP RNA RNase_MRP". It matches the Rfam family "RNase MRP". Rfam says of the family: RNase MRP is an enzymatically active ribonucleoprotein with two distinct roles in eukaryotes. In mitochondria it plays a direct role in the initiation of mitochondrial DNA replication. In the nucleus it is involved in precursor rRNA processing, where it cleaves the internal transcribed spacer 1 between 18S and 5.8S rRNAs. The record is from Rfam by way of RNAcentral. Lineage: Eukaryota; Viridiplantae; Streptophyta; Magnoliopsida; Malvales; Malvaceae.
UAAUCACGAGACGGAGUGAAUGGGUCAUGGUCGAUUCUUAAGGUGCGGCCAGAUCCAGGAAAGUCCCCGGGCCCAUGUCUGCAGAGAUGCAGGCUCGGUAACGAGUUAUCUUCGAGUCGAAGGGUCUACUUUGCCCCGUGCAAAGGGGGCUGAGACAAGUGUGGAGCCCUUUGCCCUCUUCGGCCGAAGUAAAAUUUGCCAAUGUGCACAGUUAUUCACUUGGUCCCUCGUGGACUAACAGAACGGGGCUUACGAUCUCGUGAUU